GAUGAACGCUAGCUACAGGCUUAACACAUGCAAGUCGAGGGGAAACGAUGAGAGAGCUUGCUCUCUUAGGCGUCGACCGGCGCACGGGUGAGUAACGCGUAUCCAACCUACCCAUUACAGGGGGAUAACCUUGCGAAAGUAAGACUAAUACCCCAUGGCAUUUUAUGGUGGCAUCAUUAUAGGAUUAAAGAUUUAUUGGUAAUGGAGGGGGAUGCGUCUGAUUAGCUUGUUGGCGGGGUAACGGCCCACCAAGGCAACGAUCAGUAGGGGUUCUGAGAGGAAGGUCCCCCACAUUGGAACUGAGACACGGUCCAAACUCCUACGGGAGGCAGCAGUGAGGAAUAUUGGUCAAUGGGCGAGAGCUUGAACCAGCCAAGUAGCGUGCAGGAUGACGGCCCUAUGGGUUGUAAACUGCUUUUAUAGGGGAAUAAAGUGAGCUACGUGUAGUUUAUUGCAUGUACCCUAUGAAUAAGGACCGGCUAAUUCCGUG
This 490-nucleotide ribosomal RNA is filed under the name uncultured bacterium. RNAcentral's name for it is "partial 16S ribosomal RNA". It matches the Rfam family "Bacterial small subunit ribosomal RNA", at positions 28 to 507 of the family's 1533-position model. The record is from RNAcentral.